This 344-nucleotide unclassified non-coding RNA is filed under the name soil metagenome. Its description in RNAcentral is "partial contains 5.8S ribosomal RNA, internal transcribed spacer 2, and large subunit ribosomal RNA". The stretch from base 1 to 119 matches the Rfam family "5.8S ribosomal RNA", at positions 35 to 154 of the family's 154-position model. The record is from RNAcentral.
GAUGAAGAACGCAGCGAAAUGCGAUACGUAAUGUGAAUUGCAAAUUCAGUGAAUCAUCGAGUCUUUGAACGCACAUUGCGCCCCCUGGUAUUCCGGGGGGCAUGCCUGUCCGAGCGUCAUUGCUGCCCUCAAGCACGGCUUGUGUGUUGGGCCCCGUCCUCCGAUCCCGGGGGACGGGCCCGAAAGGCAGCGGCGGCACCGCGUCCGGUCCUCGAGCGUAUGGGGCUUUGUCACCCGCUCUGUAGGCCCGGCCGGUGCUUGCCGAUCAACCCAAAUUUUUAUCCAGGUUGACCUCGGAUCAGGUAGGGAUACCCGCUGAACUUAAGCAUAUCAAUAGCGGAGGA